Molecule: ribosomal RNA, 253 nt
Filed under: uncultured bacterium
Lineage: Bacteria
Description: partial 16S ribosomal RNA
Rfam family: Bacterial small subunit ribosomal RNA
Source: RNAcentral
UACGUAGGUGGCAAGCGUUAUCCGGAUUUAUUGGGCGUAAAGGGAACGCAGGCGGUCUUUUAAGUCUGAUGUGAAAGCCUUCGGCUUAACCGGAGUAGUGCAUUGGAAACUGGGAGACUUGAGUGCAGAAGAGGAGAGUGGAACUCCAUGUGUAGCGGUGAAAUGCGUAGAUAUAUGGAAGAACACCAGUGGCGAAAGCGACUCUCUGGUCUGUAACUGACGCUGAGGUUCGAAAGCGUGGGUAGCAAACAGG